Molecule: ribosomal RNA, 253 nt
Filed under: uncultured bacterium
Lineage: Bacteria
Description: partial 16S ribosomal RNA
Rfam family: Bacterial small subunit ribosomal RNA
Source: RNAcentral
UACGUAGGGGGCAAGCGUUGUCCGGAAUCAUUGGGCGUAAAGCGCGUGUAGGCGGCUCGGUAAGUCCGCUCUGAAAGUCCGGGGCUCAACCCCGGGAGGCGGGUGGAUACUGUCGAGCUCGAGUCCGGAAGGGGCGAGUGGAAUUCCUGGUGUAGCGGUGAAAUGCGCAGAUAUCAGGAGGAACACCGAUGGCGAAGGCAGCUCGCUGGGACGUGACUGACGCUGAGACGCGAAAGCGUGGGGAGCAAACAGG